Molecule: long non-coding RNA, 362 nt
Organism: Marmota flaviventris (yellow-bellied marmot)
Lineage: Eukaryota; Metazoa; Chordata; Mammalia; Rodentia; Sciuridae
Source: RefSeq, a predicted model, not a curated record
CCACAUUGGGGGAGAAAAGAACAUGUGAGAAGACAUCAUGGAGGGCAGGGCUGUGUCCCUAGCCUCUUCACUGUGUGAUCUCAGGGAACUGAAAAUCAACUGUGAAGACAGUCCAGAAUACAAAAAGAGGUGAGGGUAACCCAAAAGGCAAGGGACCUGCCUAUGGGAGGUCUAUGGCUGUGGCAUCCAACCCCAACAGGAACAAAUGGAUGAGCUGUUCUGACAACUGAGCAGACCUUGAAUAAUGUGCACCUGAAGUCAACCACUGGAGAGACCUCAUGAAGCCAGACAGUGGUGAACCUGGGUGAUUCCAUCCACAGAAGUCACCUGGGAUCCAGUGGAGCUGGAACAAAUGGAGCAUG